GUGCUCAUUUCAGCAGCACUAAAAUCAGAAACAUAUAGAGAAGACUAGCAUGGUCCCUGUACAAGAAUGACAUGCAAAUUCAUGAAGUGUUCCAUAUUUUA
Molecule: small nuclear RNA, 101 nt
Organism: Loxodonta africana (African savanna elephant)
Lineage: Eukaryota; Metazoa; Chordata; Mammalia; Proboscidea; Elephantidae
Source: Ensembl